Molecule: ribosomal RNA, 253 nt
Filed under: uncultured prokaryote
Description: partial 16S ribosomal RNA
Rfam family: Bacterial small subunit ribosomal RNA
Source: RNAcentral
UACGAGUGCCUCAAGCGUUAUCCGGAAUUAUUGGGCGUAAAGGGUGUGUAGGAGGUUUUGUUAGUCUCUUGUUAAAUUCUUCGGCUUAACCGGGGGCAUGCAAGGGAAACGGCAAAACUAGAGGGUGCGAGAGGUGAAUGGAACUCAUAGUGUAGGGGUGAAAUCCGUUGAUAUUAUGGGGAACACCAAAAGCGAAGGCAAUUCACUGGCGCAUUCCUGACUCUGAAACACGAAAGCGUGGGUAGCGAAUGGG